GAUGAACGCUGGCGGCGUGCCUAAUACAUGCAAGUCGAGCGAACAGACGAGGAUCUUGCUCCUCUGACGUUAGCGGCGGACGGGUGAGUAACACGUGGAUACCCUACCUAUAAGACUGGGAUAACUUCGGGAAACCGGAGCUAAUACAGGAUAAUAUGUUGAACCGCAUGGUUCAAUAGAGAAAGACGGUUUUGCUGUCACUUAUACAUGGUUCCGGGCCGCAUUAGCUAGUUGGUAAGGUAACGGCUUACCAAGGCAACGAUGCGUAGCCGACCUGAGAGGGUGAUCGGCCACACUGGAACUGAGACACGGUCCAGACUCCUACGGGAGGCAGCAGUAGGGAAUCUUCCGCAAUGGGCGAAAGCCUGACGGAGCAACGCCGCGUGAGUGAUGAAGGUCUUCGGAUCGUAAAACUCUGUUAUUAGGGAAGAACAAAUGUGUAAGUAACUAUUCACGUCUUGACGUUACCUAAUCAGAAAGCCACGGCUAACUACGUG
This 497-nucleotide ribosomal RNA is filed under the name uncultured bacterium. RNAcentral's name for it is "partial 16S ribosomal RNA". It matches the Rfam family "Bacterial small subunit ribosomal RNA", at positions 28 to 507 of the family's 1533-position model. The record is from RNAcentral.